Molecule: transfer RNA, 65 nt
Filed under: Pyrgopsella youngi
Lineage: Eukaryota; Metazoa; Arthropoda; Thecostraca; Balanomorpha; Pyrgomatidae
Description: tRNA-Tyr
Rfam family: tRNA
About the family: Transfer RNA (tRNA) molecules are approximately 80 nucleotides in length.
Source: RNAcentral
UAAAAGGUGGCUGAGAAACAAGCGUUAGAUUGUAAAUUUAAAAACGAAAAUUUUUUCCCUUUUAA